GACGAACGCUGGCGGCGUGCUUAACACAUGCAAGUCGAACGGAAAGGCCUGCUUUCCCUUGUGGAUUGCGGGUACUCGAGUGGCGAACGGGUGAGUAACACGUGAGUGAUCUGCCCCCAACUUGGGUAUAAGCCUGGGAAACUGUGUCUAAUUCCCGAUAGGACUGCAGGGUGGUGCAUGUGGUGGAAAACGAUCUUCUAGUGGUUGGGGAUGAGCUCGCGGCCUAUCAGCUUGUUGGUGGGGUAAUGGCCUACCAAGGCGGGGACGGGUAGCCGGCCUGAGAGGGCGGACGGUCACAUUGGGACUGGGAUACGGCCCAGACGCCUACGGGAGGCAGCAGUGGGGAAUAUUGGACAAUGGGCGGGAGCCUGAUGCGGCGACGCCGCGUGGGGGAUGACGGCCUUCGGGUUGUAAACUCCUUUCGACCGCGAGGAAGCCACGUGGUUGGAAGGGUGGUGACGGUAGUGGUAGAAGAAGCACCGGCUAACUACGUG
This 494-nucleotide ribosomal RNA is filed under the name uncultured bacterium. Its description in RNAcentral is "partial 16S ribosomal RNA". It matches the Rfam family "Bacterial small subunit ribosomal RNA", at positions 28 to 507 of the family's 1533-position model. The record is from RNAcentral.